RNAcentral lists this ribosomal RNA (896 nucleotides) under uncultured bacterium. RNAcentral describes it as "bacterial SSU rRNA". It matches the Rfam family "Bacterial small subunit ribosomal RNA", at positions 8 to 916 of the family's 1533-position model. The record is from RNAcentral.
AGAGUUGAUCCUGGCUCAGAAUCAACGCUGGCGGCGUGCCUCAGACAUGCAAGUCGAACGAUUAAACUUCUCUUCGGAGAAGAUAUAGAGUGGCGCACGGGUGAGUAACACGUAGGUAAUCUACCUUUGAGUGGGGAAUAACUUAGGGAAACUUAAGCUAAUACCGCAUAAUGCAGCGGCAUCUUCGGAUGACAGUUGUUAAAGGAGCAAUUCGCUUAAAGAGGAGCCUGCGGCAGAUUAGCUAGUUGGUAAGGUAAUGGCUUACCAAGGCGACGAUCUGUAACCGACCUGAGAGGGUGGUCGGUCACACUGACACUGAAUAACGGGUCAGACUCCUACGGGAGGCAGCAGUCGGGAAUUUUGGGCAAUGGGCGAAAGCCUGACCCAGCAACGCCGCGUGAAGGAUGAAGUCUUUCGGGAUGUAAACUUCGUAAGAAUAGGAAGAAUAAAUGACGGUACUAUUUGUAAGGUCCGGCUAACUACGUGCCAGCAGCCGCGGUAAUACGUAGGGACCAAGCGUUGUUCGGAUUUACUGGGCGUAAAGGGCGCGUAGGCGGUUUGUCAAGUCAGUUGUGAAAUCUCCGAGCUUAACUCGGAACGGUCAACUGAUACUGUCAAACUAGAGUACAGAAGGGGCAAUCGGAAUUCUUGGUGUAGCGGUGAAAUGCGUAGAUAUCAAGAGGAACACCUGAGGUGAAGACGGGUUGCUGGGCUGAUACUGACGCUGAGGCGCGAAAGCUAGGGUAGCAAACGGGAUUAGAUACCCCGGUAGUCCUAGCCCUAAACGAUGAAUGCUUGGUGUCUGGAGUUUUUGAACUCUGGGUGCCGUCGCUAACGCUUUUAGCAUUCCGCCUGGGGAGUACGCACGCAAGUGUGAAACUCAAAGGAAUUGACGG